GUGCUCACUUGGGCAGCACAUACACUAAAAUUGGAAUGAUACAGAGAAGAUUAGCAUGGACCUUUCCCAAGAAUGGCAUGCAAAUUCGUGAAGUGUUUCAUAUUUUU
Small nuclear RNA from Cricetulus griseus (Chinese hamster), 107 nucleotides. The record is from Ensembl. Lineage: Eukaryota; Metazoa; Chordata; Mammalia; Rodentia; Cricetidae.